Molecule: ribosomal RNA, 253 nt
Filed under: uncultured bacterium
Lineage: Bacteria
Description: partial 16S ribosomal RNA
Rfam family: Bacterial small subunit ribosomal RNA
Source: RNAcentral
UACGUAGGCAGCGAGCGUUGUUCGGAGUUACUGGGCGUAAAGAGUGCGUAGGCGGUUUUCUAAGUUUGGUGUGAAAUCUCCCGGCUCAACUGGGAGGGUGCGCCGAAAACUGGAAGGCUAGAGUGCGGGAUGGGAGAGUGGAAUUCCUGGUGUAGCGGUGAAAUGCGUAGAUAUCAGGAGGAACACCUGUGGUGUAGACGGCUCUCUGGACCGCAACUGACGCUGAGACACGAAAGCGUGGGUAGCAAACAGG